This 496-nucleotide ribosomal RNA is filed under the name uncultured bacterium. RNAcentral describes it as "partial 16S ribosomal RNA". It matches the Rfam family "Bacterial small subunit ribosomal RNA", at positions 28 to 506 of the family's 1533-position model. The record is from RNAcentral.
GACGAACGCUGGCGGCGUGCCUAAUACAUGCCAGUUGAGCGAUGAAGCUUGGUGCUUGCACCAAUUUGAAGAGCAGCGAACGGGUGAGUAACGCGUGGGGAAUCUGCCUUUGAGCGGGGGACAACAUUUGGAAACGAAUGCUAAUACCGCAUAACAACUUUAAACAUAAGUUUUAAGUUUGAAAGAUGCAAUUGCAUCACUCAAAGAUGAUCCCGCGUUGUAUUAGCUAGUUGGUGAGGUAAAGGCUCACCAAGGCGAUGAUACAUAGCCGACCUGAGAGGGUGAUCGGCCACAUUGGGACUGAGACACGGCCCAAACUCCUACGGGAGGCAGCAGUAGGGAAUCUUCGGCAAUGGACGAAAGUCUGACCGAGCAACGCCGCGUGAGUGAAGAAGGUUUUCGGAUCGUAAAACUCUGUUGGUAGAGAAGAACGUUGGUGAGAGUGGAAAGCUCAUCAAGUGACGGUAACUACCCAGAAAGGGACGGCUAACUACGG